This is a non-coding RNA of Mycena metata, 89 nucleotides long. The record is from the annotation of a GenBank genome assembly. Lineage: Eukaryota; Fungi; Basidiomycota; Agaricomycetes; Agaricales; Mycenaceae.
GCGGAUGUUGUGUACGGUGCACACCUGCCCCAAAUUCAUGAGUUGGUUGGGUGAAGCAGCUUGACGGGGUUCGAAUCCCCGCGUCCGCA